RNAcentral lists this long non-coding RNA (1501 nucleotides) under Salmo salar (Atlantic salmon). RNAcentral's name for it is "lncRNA (ENSSSAG00000091024.1)". The record is from RNAcentral. Lineage: Eukaryota; Metazoa; Chordata; Actinopteri; Salmoniformes; Salmonidae.
CGUGAAACUAUGCAAUACAUCAAAUAACUGAAAUUCACAAAACAACAAACAGUGACGCAGAGGAGAAACAAACACUACUCACAAAUAUAUCACCCACAAAAACAGGUGGGACAGACAUCAGCUUAAAUAUGACCUCCAAUUAGAGACAACGACGACCAGCUGCCUCUAAUUGGAGAUCAUACCAAACAAAACCAACAUAGAAAUACAAAACUAGAAACUGAACAUAGAAAUACAAAACAUAGACAAACACCCCCUGUCACGUCCUGACCUACUCUACCAAAGAAAAUAACAACUUACUAUGGUCAGGAUGUGACAAUGAGAAACAUAAGAAAUAGCACAACAACAUUUCCAAUAACCUUUUUUUGUGGUAUAGCAACUUUGCUUAACUUUCUUCAUAAGGAAAAAAAAUGGCAGUUAAGAAUACAUUUCUGCUUAAAAAAGGUUUUGUGAAUCUGGGCCCAGAUUGGCUAGUAACGUCGUCCAGGAGAUUAGGCAAUAGCUUGAUAAAAGGAAAUCCAAUAGGCUAAAGUACAGGCAGGGAAUAGGCUAAAGUACAGGCAGGGAAUAGGCUAAAGUACAGGCAGGGAAUAUGCUAAAGUACAGGCAGGGAAUAUGCUAAAGUACAGGCAGGGAAUAUGCUAAAGGCAGGGAAUAUGCUAAAGUACAGGCAGGGAAUAUGCUAAAGUACAGGCAGGGAAUAUGCUAAAGUACAGGCAGGGAAUAGGCUAAAGUACAGGCAGGGAAUAGGCUAAAGGCAGGGAAUAGGCUAAAGGCAGGGAAUAGGCUAAAGUACAGGCAGGGAAUAUGCUAAAGUACAGGCAGGGAAUAGGCUAAAGGCAGGGAAUAGGCUAAAGUACAGGCAGGGAAUAUGCUAAAGGCAGGGAAUAGGCUAAAGUACAGGCCGGGAAUAUGCUAAAGUACAGGCAGGAUAUAUGCAAAAGUACAGGCAGGGAAUAUGCUAAAGGAAGGGAAUAGGCUAAAGUACAGGCAGGGAAUAUGCUAAAGGCAGGGAAUAGGCUAAAGUACAGGCAGGGAAUAGGCUAAAGUACAGGCAGGGAAUAGGCUAAAGUACAGGCAGGGAAUAGGCUAAAGUACAGGCAGGGAAUAUGCUAAAGUACAGGCAGGGAAUAUGCUAAAGUGCAGGCAGGGAAUAUGCAAAAGUGCAGGCAGGGAAUAGGCUAAAGGCAGGGAAUAGGCUAAAGGCAGGGAAUAGGCUAAAGUACAGGCAGGGAAUAGGCUAAAGUACAGGCAGGGAAUAGGCAAAAGGCGUUGUUAGUGAGGCAGGCAAAAACUAUCAUACACGGGAUAAUUAAAUUACGGGAAACCCAGCGCUCCGAAUAAAAGUGUGUCACAAAACAAACAAUACCUCACAAUGAUGGGUAGCAAAGAACUGAACUAUAUAGUGUGUGAUAAUGACAUACAGGUGUGUGAACAGGUGAUCAGAAUUCAGGUGAAUGGGAUCUGGAGAGUGAGCUGCGUUCAGGGGAUCUACGUGUUUGAG